GUAUAAAAGGAGAAAGAAAAGGCGAUAGAAAUCAGUCGAGUGAGUAUCUCCGACACGGCAACAUCUGCAGCGAAGUAUUUGUCAACAACUGCUAUCAUCGUAUAACCAAUUCGGAAUCAUGGUAAACUAUGGCAUUGUGCUGCUGUUGGGUUUCUUAUCGAUGGCUGGGUCGGCCAUUGGUGUAUCGAUGUCUCCUGGGUGAUGUCACCAACUGCAUUCCUCAUCGUGUAAGCAAUUCGAAAUCAUGGUUACAAUGCAAGGCUCGAGUUGAAAGGUGAAUCAGAAGAAGGAAAAAUCAUUUUAAACGUGAGAGGAAGGGCGAUAGGAAUGAUUCGAAUGAGCAUCUCCGAUACGGUAACAUUUGCAGCGCACUAUCUGUCGCCAACUGGAUUUUUUAUCAUACAACCAGUUCGCAAUGAUGCUUAAAUAAUCUGUUUUUUUAUAUUGA
This is a long non-coding RNA of Daphnia pulicaria, 448 nucleotides long. RefSeq lists it as uncharacterized. The record is from RefSeq and is a predicted model, not a curated record. The transcript is spliced from 3 exons. Lineage: Eukaryota; Metazoa; Arthropoda; Branchiopoda; Diplostraca; Daphniidae.